Molecule: non-coding RNA, 519 nt
Organism: Pelobates cultripes (western spadefoot toad)
Lineage: Eukaryota; Metazoa; Chordata; Amphibia; Anura; Pelobatidae
Source: the annotation of a GenBank genome assembly
AUUUUACAGCUUAAAACGUAUGCAAUACAGUUUCGCAACACCUAAUAGAAUUCUAUUCCUACUUAUGCCACAGGAAUGAGGAGGCAAAGCAGAGUUAGAAAUUAUUUUGUGAUAGAAGACACUCUGUGUAACCAUUGCCUGACCAGAGUGUCAGCGUCAAAGUGGAUGACCAAAGAAGGUGGAAGAUACUGGCCACUGUAGUAGGGUGUUUCCCCGAGCCAAUAUCUUAUGUGGUCCACACAUAAGGAGGGACUGUUACCCACUGCCAUAGAAUACACUUUCAGUCAUUCCCUGAGGAGUUAGGUGCUGAGAAUUUGAAACGGCAGCUGGUAGAAUCCCUGGUCUUAAGAGGUGUAACUCCCUUGCAACAUGAUUCCGGUAUGGAUACAUCGCUGCUUCCAGUGGAGUCACAACCACUCUCACAAGCAUGCUACCGAGAUUAGCACUGUAGUUAGACCAGUGAUUUGACAAAUGGGCAGAAUAAUCUCACAGUCACUUUGGACUAGGACAGUCUACCCC